This 476-nucleotide ribosomal RNA is filed under the name uncultured bacterium. RNAcentral describes it as "partial 16S ribosomal RNA". It matches the Rfam family "Bacterial small subunit ribosomal RNA", at positions 28 to 505 of the family's 1533-position model. The record is from RNAcentral.
GAUGAACGCUAGCGGCAGGCCUAACACAUGCAAGUCGAGGGAGAAGCCCUUUCGGGGGCAGAAACCGGCGCACGGGUGCGUAACGCGUAUGCAACCUACCUUUCACAGGGGGAUAGCCCGAAGAAAUUUGGAUUAAUACCCCAUAAUAUUAUUGGAUGGCAUCAUUUGAUAAUUAAAACUGCGGUGGUGAAAGAUGGGCAUGCGUCCUAUUAGCUAGUUGGAGUGGUAACGGCACCCCAAGGCUACGAUAGGUAGGGGUCCUGAGAGGGAGAUCCCCCACGCUGGUACUGAGACAGGGACCAGACUCCUACGGGAGGCAGCAGUGGGGAAUAUUGGUCAAUGGUCGGAAGACUGAACCAGCCAUGCCGCGUGCAGGAAGAAUGCCUUAUGGGUUGUAAACUGCUUUUAUAUGGGAAGAAUAAGGCGUACGUGUACGUUGAUGACGGUACCAUAUGAAUAAGCAUCGGCUAACUCCG